RNAcentral lists this ribosomal RNA (685 nucleotides) under uncultured fungus. RNAcentral describes it as "eukaryotic LSU rRNA". The stretch from base 185 to 338 matches the Rfam family "5.8S ribosomal RNA". The record is from RNAcentral. Lineage: Eukaryota; Fungi.
CCCCCCGGUUAGGUGAAACUGCGGACCGGAUCUCUACCGAUAGAGGGCGCCUCGCGCGCCCGACCUCCCAACCCUUUGUCGACCGUACUGCGUUGCCUCUGGGUGCCGGCGCCCGCGUCGCCCCAAGAGGACCCAACCGAAACCCUGCGUCUUUGCGUCGGAGUCACUUUGAUAAAUCAAUCAAAAUUUUCAACAAGGGAUCUCUUGGUUCAGGCAUCGAUGAAGAACGCAGCGAAAUGCGAUAAGUAAUGUGAAUUGCAGAAUUCAGUGAAUCAUCGAAUCUUUGAACGCACAUUGCGCCCUCUGGUAUUCCGGGGGGCAUGCCCGUUCGAGCGUCAUUUCACCACUCAAGCCUGGCUUGGUAGGGAGCGGCGGGUUCGAGCGUCAUUUCACCAAUCAAGCCUGGCUUGGUAUUGGGCACCGGGGGCGACCCGGGCCCGAAAGUCGCCGGCUGGAAAGCUCUGAUCUCAGCGUCGUGGUUUUACAAACUCGCUGGCGAGAGGGGCGGUCUGUGCCGUGAAAUCUUUUUAAGGUUGACCUCGGAUCGGGUAGGAAUACCCGCUGAACUUAAGCAUAUCAUAAAGCCGGAGGGAACGGCUCUGAACGGGGAGGGGACAAAUCAAGCAGCAUACCAUCGAGGGUAUUAGCUGAAGAGCCCAAUAUAACUAUAACUACAGGUGGAAGA